GAGCCGUUUGCAAUGCUUCAAACUGCUGAUCUAUCAAAAUCUCCAACUCGCCUUCAUCGUCCAAAUUACCAUUAAACUCUGACAGUGUGGUGCAUAGCGUGCGUUGGACUUCACUGACCAUAUCCUUACUUUGUAUUAGAUUUCAACACAACAACGACAUACCCAGCAUACUCCCACAAAUGGGGUCUAAGGAGGAUAGUCUGAACACAGACCUUACCCUUACCUUGUGAUGGUAAGGUUGUUGUUUC
RNAcentral lists this unclassified non-coding RNA (248 nucleotides) under Hevea brasiliensis (rubber tree). Lineage: Eukaryota; Viridiplantae; Streptophyta; Magnoliopsida; Malpighiales; Euphorbiaceae. The record is from RNAcentral.